GCCAGUGUCACUGCCAUCUAAAGCAGACCCACAGUCCACACCAGCGUCUCCUACUAUUACAGUAAAUUUGUUCAUUCGACAAGAUUUUUCUUAGCGGCUGGAUUCGCACGCUCAGCCCGCAGGGACAGGAGAUGAAGGGCAUCGUGUUGAAUGCACCAACAGAGAAGCCCUAAGAAAAACCCUCAGGGAUCGAAAAUCAGGUGUCCAUCCAUCCCUCGACAGAGCAUAAGGAAGAAGGGAGCAGGCAAUCUGCUGCUCUGCAGUGAUUACAUGAGCUGGAUAAGCAGAAGAGGGAGAAGGAGUGGUCCGGCAGAGACGAGCCUACAGCUGCUUCCUUGGACUCUGCAACAUCUUUCCAAGGAUGUCAUGGCAUCCAUUGAGAGUCAUUGGUUUAAACCCUCAACCCAGAGUGUUAUCCCCAAAUAAAAGAAAUAUUAGUU
This is a long non-coding RNA of Alligator sinensis (Chinese alligator), 440 nucleotides long. RefSeq lists it as uncharacterized. Lineage: Eukaryota; Metazoa; Chordata; Crocodylia; Alligatoridae. The record is from RefSeq and is a predicted model, not a curated record. The transcript has 3 exons.